Long non-coding RNA from Camellia sinensis, 372 nucleotides. RefSeq lists it as uncharacterized. The record is from RefSeq and is a predicted model, not a curated record. NCBI's taxonomy places the organism in Eukaryota, Viridiplantae, Streptophyta, Magnoliopsida, Ericales, Theaceae.
UUCUACCUUCAAAUCCCAUUUGAACGAUUUGGUCCGAUAAAGGAUGUUUAUCUACCUAAGAAUUACUACACUGGGAUACCACUGACAGUCCUCCACCUGAUGAACAUAUAAAAGAAGAGCAGGAUGAGUGUGACCGUACUUUUGUGUUGAAAGAUGAUCUUGGUUAUGUUUGUCGAAUUUGCGGAGUGGUUCAGAGAGGAAUUGAAACCAUAAUUAAGUACCAAUAUGCAAAUGUAUGUAUUCCUGUUUUUGGAAAUUUUCCAUGCAAGUAUGUGUGCUCAUCAUUAUUAUUCUGAUUCUGAUGUUAGCUGCGUAAAUUAAAUGUAUGAAAGCUACUAUGAAGUAUAUAUAAUGCAUCUGGCAGCUUCUGUU